GGCAGAUUUAGAUUGUUUCUAGUGGCGGACGGGUGAGUAACGCGUGGGUAACCUGCCUUAUACAGGGGGAUAACAGUCAGAAAUGACUGCUAAUACCGCAUAAGCGCACAGAGCUGCAUGGCUCGGUGUGAAAAACUCCGGUGGUAUAAGAUGGACCCGCGUUGGAUUAGCUAGUUGGUGAGGUAACGGCCCACCAAGGCGACGAUCCAUAGCCGGCCUGAGAGGGUGAACGGCCACAUUGGGACUGAGACACGGCCCAGACUCCUACGGGAGGCAGCAGUGGGGAAUAUUGCACAAUGGGGGAAACCCUGAUGCAGCGACGCCGCGUGAAGGAAGAAGUAUCUCGGUAUGUAAACUUCUAUCAGCAGGGAAGAAAAUGACGGUACCUGACUAAGAAGCCCCGGCUAACUACGUGCCAGCAGCCGCGGUAAUACGUAGGGGGCAAGCGUUAUCCGGAUUUACUGGGUGUAAAGGGAGCGUAGACGGAUGGACAAGUCUGAUGUGAAAGGCUGGGGCUCAACCCCGGGACUGCAUUGGAAACUGCCCGUCUUGAGUGCCGGAGAGGUAAGCGGAAUUCCUAGUGUAGCGGUGAAAUGCGUAGAUAUUAGGAGGAACACCAGUGGCGAAGGCGGCUUACUGGACGGUAACUG
Molecule: ribosomal RNA, 650 nt
Filed under: uncultured Lachnospiraceae bacterium
Lineage: Bacteria; Bacillati; Bacillota; Clostridia; Lachnospirales; Lachnospiraceae
Description: bacterial SSU rRNA
Rfam family: Bacterial small subunit ribosomal RNA
Source: RNAcentral